Molecule: ribosomal RNA, 329 nt
Filed under: uncultured eukaryote
Lineage: Eukaryota
Description: partial 18S ribosomal RNA
Rfam family: Eukaryotic small subunit ribosomal RNA
Source: RNAcentral
CCCUUAGAUGUUCUGGGCCGCACGCGCGCUACACUGAUGCAUUCAACGAGUCUAAAACCUGCUCUGAUAGGGGUGGGUAAUCUUUUGAAUGUGCAUCGUGAUUGGGAUAGAUGAUUGCAAUUUUUCAUCUUCAACGAGGAAUGCCUAGUAAACGCAAGUCAUCAGCUUGCAUUGAUUACGUCCCUGCCCUUUGUACACACCGCCCGUCGCUCCUACCGAUUGAAUGAUCCGAUGAAUAUCAUGGAUUGAGGAUUAUAGCAGGUUCGCCUGUCUUGAUCUUCGAGAAGUGAAGUAAGUCUUAUCAUUUAGAGGAAGGAGAAGUCGUAACA